This 495-nucleotide ribosomal RNA is filed under the name uncultured bacterium. RNAcentral describes it as "partial 16S ribosomal RNA". It matches the Rfam family "Bacterial small subunit ribosomal RNA", at positions 30 to 507 of the family's 1533-position model. The record is from RNAcentral.
UGAACGCUGGCGGCGUGCCUAAUACAUGCAAAUCGAGCGAACGGACGAGAAGCUUGCUUCUCUGAUGUUAGCGGCGGACGGGUGAGUAACACGUGGAUAACCUACCUAUAAGACUGGGAUAACUUCGGGAAAUCGGAGCUAAUACCGGAUAAUAUUUUGAACCGCAUGGUUCAAAAGUGAAAGACGGUCUUGCUGUCACUUAUAGAUGGAUCCGCGCUGCAUUAGCUAGUUGGUAAGGUAACGGCUUACCAAGGCAACGAUGCAUAGCCGACCUGAGAGGGUGAUCGGCCACACUGGAACUGAGACACGGUCCAGACUCCUACGGGAGGCAGCAGUAGGGAAUCUUCCGCAAUGGGCGAAAGCCUGACGGAGCAACGCCGCGUGAGUGAUGAAGGUCUUCGGAUCGUAAAACUCUGUUAUUAGGGAAGAACAUAUGUGUAAGUAACUGUGCACAUCUUGACGGUACCUAAUCAGAAAGCCACGGCUAACUACGUG